Molecule: transfer RNA, 68 nt
Filed under: Lepidodesma languilati
Lineage: Eukaryota; Metazoa; Mollusca; Bivalvia; Unionida; Unionidae
Description: tRNA-Phe
Rfam family: tRNA
About the family: Transfer RNA (tRNA) molecules are approximately 80 nucleotides in length. Their secondary structure includes four short double-helical elements and three loops (D, anti-codon, and T loops).
Source: RNAcentral
GGAUAAAUAGUUUAAAUCACAAUAAAACAUAACACUGAAAAUGUUAAAAUGAAAUUCUCUUUCUCCAC